GUGUUCCUUCAGCAGCAGCUUGGCAUGAAGUGCUUUUGAGAGAGACCAAGGGAAAAAUAUGCUGAAUGUUCUCCAAUCUUUCACAGGAGAAUACCAAAAUAUUCAUGAGGUAUAUGCUCAAGACUCUUGCAGCUCUGAAAACUCUCCUUUUCAUCUCCCAAGAGCGGGAUGGAAGAGACAGAGUGGGCACCACACAAUCAGAUGGCACACAGGAUCUGGGGCAGCACAGCAUUCCCGUCAGUCAGGAUCUUUUGGGAGCUGCUGCAGGAGCCAGAACCAUCUGGAAACCUGUCCUGGGAGCAAGAACUCAGAGCCUGAAUGUGCCUCAGAGGCAGCAGGGGCAGCUUGCCCCAGUGUGCCUCACUGAACUGAAGAACAAAGAUGUCCUGAUGGAGCUGGAGAGGGUGCCCAAGAGAUGUCACCUGCACUCAGUGGCAGCACAUGGGACAGCACCUUGGCACAUCCCUCAGCCUCAGCACUCCAAGUUGUCUUGAUCUCCACCUGGGUCACCCCUUGGGUCAUUCUGCCAUCAGCUGCCUGGCAUUUGUGUCCAUUUGUGUCCUGUGUCUUGUACCAACCUGCAAUCCAGGGGACGCCAGGGAUCCCAGCACACCUUUUACCACUGUGCUCACAGUAACAAAAUUCACUUGAAUUUUGGCCAUGGAGUACAGAUUGUUUGAAACAAUGAAGGAAUAUUUUCAUCUGUUCUCUGAACAAUAAUGAACAGAUUUAUGUAUUUGUUUAACAAUCAGUCAUGCAUGAGAUGCAACAAUUUCCAGUUCCUGUUUCUUGUCUAUCUUCCUGUUUUUAAAAAGUAUUCAAUAAAAAGAAAGUAUUGCUCAAA
Long non-coding RNA from Passer domesticus (house sparrow), 844 nucleotides. RefSeq lists it as uncharacterized. The record is from RefSeq and is a predicted model, not a curated record. The transcript has 2 exons. NCBI's taxonomy places the organism in Eukaryota, Metazoa, Chordata, Aves, Passeriformes, Passeridae.